GUGCUUACUUUGGCAGCAUAUAUACUGAAACUGGAACACACAGAGAAGAUUAGCUUGGCCUCUGAAUAAGGAUGGCAUGCAGAUUUAUGAAGUGUUCCAUUUUUUU
Molecule: small nuclear RNA, 106 nt
Organism: Pteronotus mesoamericanus
Lineage: Eukaryota; Metazoa; Chordata; Mammalia; Chiroptera; Mormoopidae
Source: RefSeq, a predicted model, not a curated record